RNAcentral lists this ribosomal RNA (267 nucleotides) under uncultured bacterium. Its description in RNAcentral is "partial 16S ribosomal RNA". It matches the Rfam family "Bacterial small subunit ribosomal RNA", at positions 793 to 1055 of the family's 1533-position model. The record is from RNAcentral.
GUCCACGCCGUAAACUAUGAGAGCUAGCCGUUGGCAAGUUUACUUGUCGGUGGCGCAGCUAACGCAUUAAGCUCUCCGCCUGGGGAGUACGGUCGCAAGAUUAAAACUCAAAGGAAUUGACGGGGGCCCCGCACAAGCGGUGGAGCAUGUGGUUUAAUUCGAAGCAACGCGCAGAACCUUACCAGCCCUUGACAUCCCGGUCGCGGUUUCCAGAGAUGGAUUCCUUCAGUUCGGCUGGACCGGUGACAGGUGCUGCAUGGCUGUCGU